This 976-nucleotide long non-coding RNA is filed under the name Homo sapiens (human). RNAcentral describes it as "uncharacterized LOC105378948, transcript variant 1 (LOC105378948)". Lineage: Eukaryota; Metazoa; Chordata; Mammalia; Primates; Hominidae. The record is from RNAcentral.
ACUCGCCCCGGAUGUGCCGCUGCAGCGCCAGGUACGUGAACUUGUACGGAGCCUCCGUCUGCACCAUUCCCCAGUGCUGCCGCCAAACCAGCUGGAUCGUCUUCGGGACGUCGGUGUCGCAGUCCAGCCCUGCGGACAAGCGCGCUUGGGGAGGGGCUACGGAUGGGGGGAAGGUGCCGGCAGGCAGGGGCGGGGCUGCUGAUGAGGGGCGGGGCUUGCCGGUAGCGGUGGGGUCGUCCUGAGGGGUGGGGUCGUCCUGAGGGGUGGGGUCGUCCGGAGGGGUGGGGUCGCCCGGAGGGGUGGGGCUAUAGCAGGGCAGGGCGGGGGGACCCAGAGUGGAGCGGCUCGCCCUGCCUGCGGAUGACGUCCACCAGGAUGUCAAUCACGAUGAUGGUGCCCGUGCAUCCGAUGCCCCCACUGAGGACAAACUAGGCGGCCUUUGACGAGAGUGGGGGGCGGGGGCGGGGGCGCCCCCGCCCACCCGAUGGCUCCGCCCUCGUCGUCCCGCGUGGCCCCGCCCCGCCGCACCUGCACCUGCACAGCCCGCGUGGCCCCGCCCCGCCGCACCUGCAUCUGCACAGCCCGCGUGGGCCCGCCCCGCCGCAGCUGAAGUGCACCACCAUGGGCCCGGCCCGCGGCUUGCUGCUCUGGGCCCGGUUCACCUCGUCCCGGAAGCCGAGGACGCCGGCGGGAUCGGCCCGGACGCCGUAGUCCGGCCAGCCGAAGUACUGGAAGUGCUGCACCGUACGCUGUGGCUCCUCCUGAGCGGGGCAAGCGCUACCUAAGAGGGAAGGGCCCGCUGUCCUGUGAUCACGUGACUUGCUUCACCUUGUCAAUCACUUAGAAGACUGACCCUCCUUAUCCUGCCCCCUUGUCUUGUAUGCAAUAAAUAUCAGCGAGCCCAGCCGUUCAGGGCCACUACCGGUCUCCGUGUCUUUGUGGUAGUGGUCCCCGGGGCCCAGCUGUUUUCUCUUUA